CUAAAACACCUAAACACUGACGUGGAUGUGUACGCGUGUCGCCCGCCCGCCGCCGCCGGCACGACUGGUUGACCAAUCAUCGCACAGCGGCGGAGGACAGUUCUCUUUUGUCGGCUACUUCAUGUUCUUAUACGUUGCUCACUUCGUUUCAAACUGCAGCGCGCCUUCCACAUUUUUCUUCCUUCUAUUAAUUUCGAAACAACUGUUUUUCUCAAUUGACAAUUCGACUAAUUCAUACUUUCAUACUUUGGAGAUACCGGAGAAAAAUAUUUCAACAAAAUAAGUGUGUUUAUCAAAAGAGUUCGACUCUCAAAAAACAGUAAAAUUCAGAACUCCCAAUGUGUUUUCAAGUGUGCCAGAAGAAAGUGAAGAAAUGAAUAAACAAUUUGGAGAAACAAUAAAAUGAAAGAUUAAAUUUCCAUGAAAAUAACAAAUUCAAAUUAUUACAACUUUACAGAUGACUUGCUUUCCUCAUUGAAUAAAUGGGAAGCCUCACCUUAAGAAAAAGGCGAAAAAGGAUUCCCGAUUUUUUUUCGAGAAAUUCCAAAGCCAGCAGACCCCAGGGCUGUCAAUAUACUUGUCCCGAGACCCUACGGAGUCUCUCGUUCCAUGGGCUUCAGAAUGAAAAUUUUCCAACUUUUCUUGACUAGAGAUAGUGUGAUGAAAAUUUACUUUAUCCGAAAGAAGGCAAAGGAUUUUUGUUCGAAGCAGAUCGACGUUAUCGGUUACCGGCAAGAAAAAGGAACCGGUAGAUGGGCGCUUUUCGUCAAUGGGGCGCGACGAAUUGAGGAACUAAUCAAGGCAUGGGGAUAUGGAAGCACGUCGGGGAAACGUAGAGCUGCAGUUGAAUUCGAUCCACGUCGACAAUACCUCCUUAAGCUCGGCCAAAUAAUUUACGUUUUUGCAAUUUUUAUUGAUUAGAUCACUCGGUGGUCGUUACCAAACCCAGCGAGAAAAAAAUAUCUCACGAGUAUAAAAUUUGGAAAUCCGUCAGGUCAAGAAUUCCUCUCCGCAGAAUUUGUUAAAGCGUUGUUUGCUUAUGUAUCCUCGAGCUGUAAAAACAGGGCUUUUGUUCCAAGUGACUGAAAGUUAAAUUUUGAAUUGAAGCACAACUUUAAUCCGAAUCUUAAAUCUUAAGCUUAAAUGCAUAAAAAUAUGAAAAACAAUGGAAAAUAGUCUUAGGAUCUCAUAGCUUAAGUUGAGCCAUGUAAUUUGGCAAUUUGUCAUAGACCGGCUACCUUAAUGAAAAUAAAUAAAUAUCUAUUUCCAUUUCA
Molecule: long non-coding RNA, 1274 nt
Organism: Venturia canescens
Lineage: Eukaryota; Metazoa; Arthropoda; Insecta; Hymenoptera; Ichneumonidae
Exons: 3
Source: RefSeq, a predicted model, not a curated record